GAAAUGCGAUACGUAAUGCGAAUUGCAGAAUUCAGUGAAUCAUCGAAUCUUUGAACGCAAAUUGCGCUCUCGGGUUACCCCCAAGAGCACACCUCUCUGAGUGUCGGUUUAACCAAAUGUCAUCAAUUUAUUGGUGUACGAUGUUUGAGGGUAAGGGGCCUUGGCUUCUUUCCUUUUAAAUCUUAGCCGCACAACUUUGUGUGCCAGUGGCAAGUUGCUUUCACUUAAUUGUGAAUUCAAUCCACCAGCCCUUAGUCAUGCAGCCCAAAGAAACAACUGGACAAAAUUUGAAGCUUAAAGAUGAGUGAAAGUGUCAUUCUUUGGGUGAUAAGAUUUUUGUUCAACCUAUGAAUUAGACCUCAGAUGAAGUGGGAAGACCCCCUGAAUUUAA
RNAcentral lists this unclassified non-coding RNA (391 nucleotides) under uncultured fungus. RNAcentral describes it as "sequence contains ITS1". The stretch from base 1 to 106 matches the Rfam family "5.8S ribosomal RNA", at positions 50 to 154 of the family's 154-position model. The record is from RNAcentral. Lineage: Eukaryota; Fungi.